This 253-nucleotide ribosomal RNA is filed under the name uncultured bacterium. Its description in RNAcentral is "partial 16S ribosomal RNA". It matches the Rfam family "Bacterial small subunit ribosomal RNA", at positions 524 to 776 of the family's 1533-position model. The record is from RNAcentral.
GACAGAGGGUGCAAACGUUGUUCGGAAUUACUGGGCGUAAAGCGUGUGUAGGCGGCUAGGUAAGUCGGAUGUGAAAGCCCCAGGCUCAACCUGGGAAGUGCACUCGAAACUGCCUAGCUCGAGUAUCGGAGAGGUUGGUGGAAUUCUCGGUGUAGAGGUGAAAUUCGUAGAUAUCGAGAGGAACACCGGUGGCGAAGGCGGCCAACUGGACGAAUACUGACGCUGAGACACGAAAGCGUGGGGAGCAAACAGG